GUUGAGUCAAGGGAUGAUGAUGUUCUUGUCCAUAGAAAUGAUGAAGAGGAUGGCCAAGAAGCUGUUGAAUUUGAUGCUGAGGUGUCUACAGAUGGUGACGUUCUUGUUAAUGGGAACAAUGGUGAUGAAGAGUAUGUGCUUACUCCCCGACAUUAGGGACCUUAUGUGUUCGAUAUCAGUGUUAGAGGCCGAUGUUCUUCUACAGGUUUUACUAAAUGAGUAUACACUACGAGGUGAUUUUCUACAGAAUCUUCUGAUCGGGAUAAAAUAUAUUUAUUGAUAUUGUGUAGCCAUCACAAUUUGCUUCUUUGUGUACCAUUCAAUUGCUGAAGAAAGUGUACUAUUGAAAGACUAGAGAAAUAGAGAGGUAGAUCUGAUUCCUUUAACCCUUGUAUCAUGCCAGUGGCGUAUAUCCUUCCUUCACUUUUGAUACUAUGAAGUUCGUUCACCAAAUUGUUAUCUGAAGGAUGUUUAGUGAGUGAAUCGUGUAUAAUGUCUUGUGCUUCAAUGUUUCUUGAGUGUAAAUUGAUUUAUAGUGGCUCUUUGUUUCCAUGUGCUGUGCCAUCUUCUAUCUUCUUACAUGUACGGUUAAUUACAGAUUUUGGGGGGUACUUUAUCCAUUGUAAGUUGUCAUUUG
This is a long non-coding RNA of Asparagus officinalis (garden asparagus), 637 nucleotides long. RefSeq lists it as uncharacterized. The record is from RefSeq and is a predicted model, not a curated record. The transcript has 4 exons. NCBI's taxonomy places the organism in Eukaryota, Viridiplantae, Streptophyta, Magnoliopsida, Asparagales, Asparagaceae.